This 379-nucleotide ribosomal RNA is filed under the name uncultured eukaryote. Its description in RNAcentral is "partial 18S ribosomal RNA". It matches the Rfam family "Eukaryotic small subunit ribosomal RNA", at positions 592 to 975 of the family's 1831-position model. The record is from RNAcentral.
CAAUAGCGUAUAUUAAAGUUGUUGCGGUUAAAAAGCUCGUAGUUGGAUUUCUGCUGAGAACGACCGGUCCGCCCUUUGGGUGUGUAUCUGGCUCUUUCUUGGCAUCUUCUUGGUGAACGUUGCUGCACUUGACUGUGUGGAGCGCUACCCAGGACUUUUACUUUGAGGAAAUUAGAGUGUUUCAAGCAGGCAUACGCCUUGAAUACAUUAGCAUGGAAUAAUAAGAUAGGACCUCGGUUCUAUUUUGUUGGUUUCUAGAGCUGAGGUAAUGAUUAAUAGGGAUAGUUGGGGGCAUUCGUAUUUAACUGUCAGAGGCGAGAUUCUUGGAUUUGUUAAAGACGGACUACUGCGAAAGCAUUUGCCAAGGAUGUUUUCAUUG